Molecule: ribosomal RNA, 253 nt
Filed under: uncultured bacterium
Lineage: Bacteria
Description: partial 16S ribosomal RNA
Rfam family: Bacterial small subunit ribosomal RNA
Source: RNAcentral
UACGGGGGGGGUAAGCGUUGUUCGGAAUUACUGGGCGUAAAGGGCUCGUAGGCGGCCAACUAAGUCACACGUGAAAUCCCUCAGCUUAACUGGGGAACUGCGUGUGAUACUGGAUGGCUUGGAUUUGGGAGAGGGAUGCGGAAUUCCAGGUGUAGCGGUGAAAUGCGUAGAUAUCUGGAGGAACACCGGUGGCGAAGGCGGCAUCCUGGACCAAUAUUGACGCUGAGGAGCGAAAGCCAGGGGAGCAAACAGG